GAUGAACGCUGGCGGCGUGCCUAAUACAUGCAAGUCGAGCGAACGGACGAGAAGCUUGCUUUUCUGAUGUUAGCGGCGGACGGGUGAGUAACACGUGGAUAACCUACCUAUAAGACUGGGAUAACUUCGAGAAACCGGAGCUAAUACCGGAUAAUAUUUUGAACCGCAUGGUUCAAAAGUGAAAGACGGUCUUGCUGUCACUUAUAGAUGGAUCCGCGCUGCAUUAGCUAGUUGGUAAGGUAACGGCUUACCAAGGCAACGAUGCAUAGACGACAUGAGAGAGUGAUAGGCCACACGUGAACUGAGACACGGUCACGACUACUACGAGACGCAGCAGAAGGCAAUCUUCCGCAAUGGGAGAAAGCAUGACGGAGAAAAGCAGCGUGAGUGAUAAAGGUCCCGGGAUCGUAAACCUCUGUUCUUAGGGAAGAACCUAUGUGUAAGUAACUGUGAACUUCUUGACGGUACGUAGUCAGAAAGCAACGGCUAACUCCGUG
RNAcentral lists this ribosomal RNA (497 nucleotides) under uncultured bacterium. RNAcentral's name for it is "partial 16S ribosomal RNA". It matches the Rfam family "Bacterial small subunit ribosomal RNA", at positions 28 to 507 of the family's 1533-position model. The record is from RNAcentral.